Molecule: unclassified non-coding RNA, 376 nt
Filed under: uncultured Ignavibacteria bacterium
Lineage: Bacteria; Pseudomonadati; Ignavibacteriota; Ignavibacteria
Description: contains 16S-23S intergenic spacer region
Source: RNAcentral
UCGCUGCUUGCGCAGGCAGUCCACUUAGAGUGCCCAGCUUGACCUGAUGGCAACUAAGUGCAGGGGUUGCGCUCGUUGCAGGACUUAACCUAACACCUCACGGCACGAGCUGACGACAGCCAUGCAGCACCUGUACAAGUGUGUAUUGCUACAAGACCGACUUUCAUCGGUUGUCACUUGCCUUUCAAACCCAGGUAAGGUUCUUCGCGUUGCAUCGAAUUGAACCACAUGCUCCACUGCUUGUGCGGGCCCCCGUCAAUUCCUUUGAGUUUCAACCUUGCGAUCGUACUCCCCAGGUGAGAUACUUAACGCGUUAGCUUGGACACCGAGCCUUGCGGCCCGACAUCGAGUAUCCAUCGUUUAAGGCGUGGACUAC